RNAcentral lists this ribosomal RNA (478 nucleotides) under uncultured bacterium. RNAcentral's name for it is "bacterial SSU rRNA". It matches the Rfam family "Bacterial small subunit ribosomal RNA", at positions 29 to 506 of the family's 1533-position model. The record is from RNAcentral.
GUUAACGCUGGCGGCGUGCCUAACACAUGCAAGUCGAACGAGAUUUCCAGUUCGUAUCGGAAGUCUAGUGGCAGACGGGUGAGUAACACGUAAACAACCUGCCCUCAAAAGGGGGAUAACCUGACGAAAGUCGGACUAAUACCCCAUAUAAUCCCACCAAGGCAUUUUGGAGGGAUGAAAGGCCCGCAAGGGUCGAUUGAGGAGGGGUUUGCGGCCUAUCAGCUAGUUGGCGGUGUAACGGACCACCAAGGCAAUGACGGGUAGCCGAUCUAAAAGGAUGACCGGCCACAAGGGCACUGAGACACGGGCCCUACUCCUACGGGAGGCAGCAGUGGGGAAUUUUGGACAAUGGACGAAAGUCUGAUCCAGCGACGCCGCGUGGAGGACGAAGGUUUUCGGAUUGUAAACUCCUUUUACAGGGGACGAAAGCGGGCAACCGUUUGACAGUACUCUGUGAAUAAGCCACGGCUAACUACGU